RNAcentral lists this microRNA (22 nucleotides) under Mus musculus (house mouse). RNAcentral describes it as "mmu-miR-3070-3p". Lineage: Eukaryota; Metazoa; Chordata; Mammalia; Rodentia; Muridae. The record is from miRBase by way of RNAcentral.
UGGUGCUACCGUCAGGGGUAGA